UAGGGAAUCUUCGGCAAUGGGGGGAACCCUGACCGAGCAACGCCGCGUGAGUGAAGAAGGUUUUCGGAUCGUAAAGCUCUGUUGUUAAGGAAGAACGAGUGUGAGAAUGGAAAGUUCAUACUGUGACGGUACUUAACCAGAAAGGGACGGCUAACUACGUGCCAGCAGCCGCGGUAAUACGUAGGUCCCGAGCGUUGUCCGGAUUUAUUGGGCGUAAAGCGAGCGCAGGCGGUUAGAAAAGUCUGAAGUGAAAGGCAGUGGCUCAACCAUUGUAGGCUUUGGAAACUGUUUAACUUGAGUGCAGAAGGGGAGAGUGGAAUUCCAUGUGUAGCGGUGAAAUGCGUAGAUAUAUGGGGGAACACCGGUGGCGAAAGCGGCUCUCUGGUCUGUAACUGACGCUGAGGCUCGAAAGCGUGGGGAGCGAACAGG
This 429-nucleotide ribosomal RNA is filed under the name bacterium. RNAcentral describes it as "partial 16S ribosomal RNA". It matches the Rfam family "Bacterial small subunit ribosomal RNA", at positions 355 to 776 of the family's 1533-position model. RNAcentral also lists the same sequence under 1 other name. The record is from RNAcentral.